UAAUAGUUUGAACUGAGCCUUUUCCAAAAGAUUUCGUACCCAUGAUAAUAGCCCUUUUGUGAUCUUGUAGAGCUCCAGCUACAAUUUCAGAGGCAGAAGCACUCCCUUGGUUAAUCAAUACAACAAGUGGAAGACCAUCAGUUAAAUCUCUUUUUAUCGCAUUGUACCUACUGCCCUCUCUGUCAAACCUUCCUCUCGUUGAUACUAUUUCACCUUGGCUUAAAAAAAUAUCUGUAACACUUACAGCUUGAUCUAAUAAACCUCCAGGGUUAUUUCUUA
Molecule: non-coding RNA, 279 nt
Filed under: marine eukaryotic metagenome
Source: RNAcentral